Molecule: ribosomal RNA, 498 nt
Filed under: uncultured bacterium
Lineage: Bacteria
Description: bacterial SSU rRNA
Rfam family: Bacterial small subunit ribosomal RNA
Source: RNAcentral
AGAGUUGAUCCUGGCUCAGAUUGAACGCUGGCGGCAUGCUUACACAUGCAAGUCGAACGGGUGAGGAGCUUGCUCCUCAUCUAGUGGCGAACGGGUGAGUAAUACAUCGGAACGUACCGUGUAGUGGGGGAUAACGUAGCGAAAGUUACGCUAAUACCGCAUACGAUCCACGGAUGAAAGCAGGGGACCUUCGGGCCUUGUGCUAUACGAGCGGCCGAUGUCUGAUUAGCUAGUUGGUGGGUAAAGGCCCACCAAGGCAACGAUCAGUAGCGGGUCUGAGAGGAUGAUCCGCCACACUGGGACUGAGACACGGCCCAGACUCCUACGGGAGGCAGCAGUGGGGAAUUUUGGACAAUGGGCGCAAGCCUGAUCCAGCCAUGCCGCGUGUCUGAAGAAGGCCUUCGGGUUGUAAAGGACUUUUGUCAGGGAGCAAAACCCAGCAGCUAAUAUCUGUUGGGGAUGAGAGUACCUGAAGAAUAAGCACCGGCUAACUACGUG